UUAUAUUCAAAACUGAAGAAAUUGGGGACAACAAGCAUCGACCAUGGCUAGCCUCCAGCUCAAGACUGGCUUGACUUCCUCAUUGACCACAACAAGGCCGGUUGCACCCAAAGGCCUUUCUGGUUCACCUCUUAGGCUCUUCCCUUCUUCCCAGAGGUCUUCCUCCACUAUCAAGGCAGUAAAAACCGACAAGGUCGUUUCUUCUUUUCAUUUUUCUGUGAUUUUUAAGAUUUUAUUUAAUAGGGCAAUUUACUGAAUGCCCAUGUUGGGGAUCCACGAUCUGCUCAGUGCUCAUCAAUCGAGCUAGAUUGAUUUCAAAUGCUUUAGUUGGUGGUAUUUGCCUUAUAUGAUGAUUUCCUGAAGGUUAUGCCUUUAAAUUUUACUUUUCAUGUUGUCGGUUUAUUGAGAAUUAGUAACUAAUUUCAAGAUUUAUCGUAGUAUUGUAAGGAAAAGCUGAUUUUAAUUUAUUCAAAUGCUUCAUACUUUUCCUUAAGAUAAUGCAUAUGUUCUAGUUGUUUUACUAGAAAUAUGAUGCUCACGAUUGAGCCAUUGCCCAUUGUUGAAGGUUAUAAUGGUCUUUUUUUUUUCUUUAUAGAUAUGAGAAAGUACCAUAGUAAAAACUUAGAACUAGUUAUGGUUUUCAUGUCAUAGAGGCUUGUGGAUCCUUUCGGUUACAUCACAUGUAUUAAUUAUGUCGGGCAUAACCACGUAUUUUUUCUAGUUCUAUUUGUAUUUUCUGUUUGCUAAUACGAUAAAACUAUGCAGCCUACAUUCCAAGUCGUCCAACCCAUCAAUGGUGACCCGUUCAUUGGAAGUCUCGAGACUCCAGUGACAUCGAGCCCACUAAUUGCAUGGUACCUUUCAAAUCUUCCAGGAUACCGGACCGCUGUGAACCCAUUGCUCCGAGGCAUUGAGGUCGGGCUAGC
Molecule: long non-coding RNA, 926 nt
Filed under: Lactuca sativa (garden lettuce)
Lineage: Eukaryota; Viridiplantae; Streptophyta; Magnoliopsida; Asterales; Asteraceae
Description: long non-coding RNA (LSAT_LNC009161)
Source: RNAcentral